Molecule: ribosomal RNA, 322 nt
Filed under: uncultured eukaryote
Lineage: Eukaryota
Description: partial 18S ribosomal RNA
Rfam family: Eukaryotic small subunit ribosomal RNA
Source: RNAcentral
CCCUUAGAUGUUCUGGGCCGCGCGCGUGCUACACUGAGUGGAUCAGCGGGUCAGGUUACGCGAGAGCGUUUCCUAAUCUUCAAAUCCGCUCGUGAUGGGGAUUGACGGUUGCAAUUUUCCGUCAUGAACGAGGAAUACCUUGUAAGCGCGGGUCAUCAUCCCGCGCUGAAUACGUCCCUGCCCUUUGUACACACCGCCCGUCGCUCCUACCGAUUGAGUGGUCCGGUGAGGCUUUGGGAUCUGAGCGGAAAGAGCGUUUCGCUGUUUCUGCUCGGAAAACUCAGUCGAACCUUAUCAUUUAGAGGAAGGAGAAGUCGUAACA